Long non-coding RNA from Monodelphis domestica (gray short-tailed opossum), 751 nucleotides. RefSeq lists it as uncharacterized. NCBI's taxonomy places the organism in Eukaryota, Metazoa, Chordata, Mammalia, Didelphimorphia, Didelphidae. The record is from RefSeq and is a predicted model, not a curated record.
GUGCAAUUUCUCUUUUAAAAAAUGGUUACCUUGAUGCUCCUGGAUAAGACUAAAUGAAGCCUCAAGUGAAGUCUUAAGAAAGAUCCCUUUAGCCAUCUGAUGAGGCCUAUGGAUCCCUUUUCAGAAUGUUUUUUAAAUGGAUUAAACAAAAUACAUAGAAAGGCAAAGGAAACCAUUGUAUUGAAUAGGAAGAGAUGUUGAAGUAAGAAACACUUGAAGACAUCCAACUACCCUCCAAACAACCACAGAAGAACAAUGCCUCAGAAAGAGUACUAGAUUAGCAGAACCAACAGAAGAAUGGGCAAAGUCCAGAACAAUGUGGAAAGGCACCAAAAAAGGACUCAUCUUACUGAAGUACCUGAAGAGAGCACUGAACAGGACAGAACAGUGACCCAGUACAGGCAGUAGGAGAGGAACUCAGUCCAAGAAGCUCCAGUCUCAGCAGGACUAGGCAGAGCCCAAACAGCUGCAGAUCUCCAUGCAGCAGCCCAACCAGAUCACGUUUGUUUGCAGAGUGAUCAAUCCAAGACUCAGACAGCUGAGCCCAUCCCAGGGACCAUUCCAGCACAAGACAGUUCUCUUUCCACCCAAGGAUGGAGCAACACUUCAUCCAACAGACAUGUUCAUGAGAAGAACUAUUUUGUAUUUUGAAUCAGAGACCAACAAGUGAUUUAUGAGCUAAAUAUACAAAGUAUUCAAUGUGCAUUUUAUUCCCAUUUGUUUUAUAUGUUUGAUUAAUACAAAUUCUUGU